Scatophagus argus is the source of this 816-nucleotide long non-coding RNA. RefSeq lists it as uncharacterized. NCBI's taxonomy places the organism in Eukaryota, Metazoa, Chordata, Actinopteri, Scatophagidae. The record is from RefSeq and is a predicted model, not a curated record. The transcript has 5 exons.
AUCUGACCGUAUAUCAGACUGGUUUGCACGUUUAAGGUAGUUAAAGAAUAUGCGUGUUGCCGACAGACACGAAGCAGGCAAGAAAACGGUGAACAGGAAGCUGCAAAACCAGCAUUUCGCUCCACCAAGUGAAGCAGUCUGGAGUGGGACCUUGGAGGGAUCCAUCUGGGCAGAGUUAUAUUUGAUAUUGGGAGCAGAGGAAAACCCUGGGCGGUGAGCCCCACUGCAGAGGGCACAGUGAUCAUCACCACACACUUCUGUGAAGACAAUUUUCAGGGGAUGUUCUCACGCCAACGAGCUGGAUGCUUAGCAUUGAGGGACAAGUGGUCGUGGGUCCACACCAGAACAUUGUGGCUGGCAUGGCAGUGUUUUUCUCGUGCUAUUACGUCUUCAAUCUGGUGCACCAAGAGGAGGCCUCGAGCGCACUGGGAUUCAUCCAAAGAUGCUUCGUCGGGAUCAACCCAACCUCUGGCACAAAGAUGACAAAGUGGAUCAGUCCAAGAAGUGGGAAGGUGCACGAAAAGAGUAGCAACAGUGUCAGCCCUCAUGUCUCUGCACUCAAAAGACUAAUGGACUAUGAAUGGCUUUGAGCCUGUCGCAAAAGUAAGGACAAUGGCACACGGUAUUUCUUUAACAAAAGUGGUUUCAAAAUAAGGUUAGUUUUUACAUGUUACACGUUUGACAUUGUUGCUACAAAUUUGAGUUGAAUAUGAGUGACUUUGCUGCAGUAGUCUUGUGCAGUCUGUCCAGUGUUUAUGCUUUCCAUGCAUGUGCCUAUUGGCUCAUAAAAAGGAAAGUCACUUUAAGUUUCAUACU